This 465-nucleotide ribosomal RNA is filed under the name uncultured bacterium. RNAcentral describes it as "partial 16S ribosomal RNA". It matches the Rfam family "Bacterial small subunit ribosomal RNA", at positions 338 to 795 of the family's 1533-position model. The record is from RNAcentral.
CCUACGGGUGGCAGCAGUGGGGAAUAUUGGACAAUGAGCGAAAGCCUGAUCGAGCGACACCGCGUGUGGGAUGAAGGCCCUCGGGUUGUAAACCACUUUUGUAGAGAACGAAAAGACACAUUUUAAUAAAGGGUGUGGCUGACGGUACUCUAAGAAUAAGCACCGGCUAACUACGUGCCAGCAGCCGCGGUAAUACGUAGGGUGCGAGCGUUAAACGGAAUUACUGGGCGUAAAGGGUGCGCAGGCGGUUGAGUAAGUCAGAUGGGAAAUCCCCGGGCCUAACUCUGGAAUUGCAUAUGUGACUGGUCGACUAGAGUGUGUCAGAGGGAGGUGGAAUUCCAGGUGUAGCGGUGAAAUGCGGAGAUAUGUGGAAGAACACCGAUGGCGAAGGCAGCCUCCUGGGACAUAACUGACGCUCAGGCACGAAAGCGUGGGGAGCAAACAGGAUUAGAUACCCUUGUAGUC